RNAcentral lists this long non-coding RNA (647 nucleotides) under Nicotiana benthamiana. RNAcentral's name for it is "long non-coding RNA (NBEN_LNC031682)". The record is from RNAcentral. Lineage: Eukaryota; Viridiplantae; Streptophyta; Magnoliopsida; Solanales; Solanaceae.
GCUCUUCUACAUGACAACUUGGACACUUAAAAUUAAGCAAAUAACAAACUAGGCGUACUAACAAAGGAUGAAGAGAUGGGAUACAAAACAAAAACGAUUUCAGGCUGUCAAGAUAUAUAUAAAAACAUUCUCAGCCGAAGAGUAUGACUAGAUUGUCAGAUAAAGACACAUGCUUGAGCAAUCAUAAUUCAUACUAUUCUAAUAGCCGCUAUGAAAUACAGAGCUGACUUUUACCUAAAUCUAGCAAUUUCUCUUAAAGGGCCACCAAUUCCACAUCCAACAUCCAAAACCUGUCAAUGAAACAAGGAAUUCUUUUCAUGUUCCACUUGCUAAAUGAGACCUGGCUGACCAAUUUGAACCAAAACCACCACGAGAAAAGAAGAGAGUGGCCGAAAAAGAACACAUCCAUAAUACGAUGAAAAACCUUUUGUCCUUGCUUUAGCCCUAAUUGCAGAGCAAGAAAGUGUUCAUGUCGUCUGAUACUUUCUCCAAGUGAUUCCCCUUUCCAUCUGUUAUAACAAGGAAGAUACUGUUAGGAUUAUGAUUCCUACUAAAGACAACAACCUUCAUAUUGAAUAAUUCGAAUAUAUAAACUACAUGAGCGGAACCUAACCUGAAUCCAUAUGUGGAAAUGUUGAGCCUCCUUU